AGAGUUUGAUCAUGGCUCAGAACGAACGCUGGCGGCAUGCCUAACACAUGCAAGUCGAACGAGACCUUCGGGUCUAGUGGCGCACGGGUGCGUAACGCGUGGGAAUCUGCCCCUUGGUUCGGAAUAACUUCGGGAAACUGAAGCUAAUACCGGAUAAUGACGUAAGUCCAAAGAUUUAUCGCCAAGGGAUGAGCCCGCGUAGGAUUAGCUAGUUGGUGGGGUAAAGGCUCACCAAGGCGACGAUCCUUAGCUGGUCUGAGAGGAUGAUCAGCCACACUGGGACUGAGACACGGCCCAGACUCCUACGGGAGGCAGCAGUGGGGAAUAUUGGACAAUGGGCGAAAGCCUGAUCCAGCAAUGCCGCGUGAGUGAUGAAGGCCUUAGGGUUGUAAAGCUCUUUUACCCGGGAAGAUAAUGACUGUACCGGGAGAAUAAGCCCCGGCUAACUCCGUG
RNAcentral lists this ribosomal RNA (453 nucleotides) under uncultured bacterium. Its description in RNAcentral is "bacterial SSU rRNA". It matches the Rfam family "Bacterial small subunit ribosomal RNA", at positions 8 to 507 of the family's 1533-position model. The record is from RNAcentral.